UACGUAGGGGGCAAGCGUUAUCCGGAUUUACUGGGUGUAAAGGGAGCGUAGACGGAAUUGCAAGUCUGAUGUGAAAAUCCGGGGCCCAACCCCGUCCGGCCGUUGAAACUGGGGGCCUUGAGUGGGCGAGAAGAAGGCGGAAUGCGUGGUGUAGCGGUGAAAUGCAUAGAUAUCACGCAGAACCCCGAUUGCGAAGGCAGCCUUCCGGCGCCCUACUGACGCUGAGGCACGAAAGUGCGGGGAUCGAACAGG
This 252-nucleotide ribosomal RNA is filed under the name uncultured bacterium. RNAcentral describes it as "partial 16S ribosomal RNA". It matches the Rfam family "Bacterial small subunit ribosomal RNA", at positions 524 to 776 of the family's 1533-position model. The record is from RNAcentral.